AUGCAAGAAAUUGUUUCUCACCUUUGGAUUUCUGGCACUGAAUUCACAUGCAUGCCUUGUGCAAAUAUGAAGACCGUGUUUCCGGCUUGUAAGUUUUUGGUUGUUUGCAAAGUUAAACAGUCUAAUUUUUACUUCUUAGAUACAGAUAAUCCUUGGUCGAAAGAUUUUGUUGCUGUCCAGGCCAUCUUGAAGACGUUUGGUGAUGCAUCCAGGCUGAGAACUAACAUUGCGAAGAGUGUGGCUUAUCCUACUUCCUGUGAUGGGUUCAGAAAGCCGAGCUACAGCCGGUUGUGCUUGACUAGGCUACCAGCAAGCUCUCGCCAUGGAAAGAGCGACGUCUCAACAGGACUGGAAGACUGGUGA
RNAcentral lists this ribosomal RNA (363 nucleotides) under Triticum aestivum (bread wheat). Its description in RNAcentral is "partial small subunit ribosomal RNA". Lineage: Eukaryota; Viridiplantae; Streptophyta; Magnoliopsida; Poales; Poaceae. The record is from RNAcentral.